Molecule: ribosomal RNA, 402 nt
Filed under: uncultured Acidobacteriota bacterium
Lineage: Bacteria; Pseudomonadati; Acidobacteriota
Description: uncultured Acidobacteria bacterium partial 16S ribosomal RNA
Rfam family: Bacterial small subunit ribosomal RNA
Source: RNAcentral
UCGGGAAUUUUGCUCAAUGGGGGAAACCCUGAAGCAGCAACGCCGCGUGCGGGAUGAAGGCCUUCGGGUUGUAAACCGCUUUUACCAGGGACGAUGAUGACGGUACCUGAUGAAUAAGUCACGGCUAACUACGUGCCAGCAGCCGCGGUAAUACGUAGGUGACCAGCGUUGUCCGGAUUUACUGGGCGUAAAGAGCGCGCAGGCGGUCGUUCAAGUCGAGUGUGAAAGCCCCCGGCUCAACUGGGGAGGGUCAUUCGAUACUGAUCGACUGGAAGGCAGGAGAGGGAAGCGGAAUUCCCGGUGUAGUGGUGAAAUGCGUAGAUAUCGGGAGGAACACCAGUGGCGAAGGCGGCUUCCUGGCCUGUUCUUGACGCUGAGGCGCGAAAGCUAGGGGAGCAAACG